AUACGUAGGGGGCGAGCGUUGUCCGGAUUUACUGGGCGUAAAGGGUGAGUAGGCGGUUAUGUAUGUCAGGUGUAAAAGGCGUAGGCUUAACUUACGUUAGCACUUGAAACUGCAUAACUUGAGUGCAGGAGAGGUAAGUGGAAUUCCUAGUGUAGCGGUGAAAUGCGUAGAUAUUAGGAGGAACACCAGUGGCGAAGGCGACUUACUGGACUGUAACUGACGCUGAGUCACGAAAGCGUGGGUAGCAAACAGGAUUAGAUACCCUGGUAGUCCACGCUGUAAACGAUGAGUGCUAGGUGUUGGGUAGCGAUAUUCAGUGCCGAAGUAAACACAAUAAGCACUCCGCCUGGGGAGUACGGUCGCAAGACUGAAACUCAAAUGAAUUGACGGGG
RNAcentral lists this ribosomal RNA (392 nucleotides) under uncultured bacterium. RNAcentral's name for it is "partial 16S ribosomal RNA". It matches the Rfam family "Bacterial small subunit ribosomal RNA", at positions 523 to 918 of the family's 1533-position model. The record is from RNAcentral.